This 492-nucleotide ribosomal RNA is filed under the name uncultured bacterium. Its description in RNAcentral is "partial 16S ribosomal RNA". It matches the Rfam family "Bacterial small subunit ribosomal RNA", at positions 29 to 507 of the family's 1533-position model. The record is from RNAcentral.
AGUGAACGCUGGCGGUAGGCCUAACACAUGCAAGUCGAACGGCAGCACAGUAAGAGCUUGCUCUUACGGGUGGCGAGUGGCGGACGGGUGAGGAAUACAUCGGAAUCUGCUUUUUCGUGGGGGAUAACGUAGGGAAACUUACGCUAAUACCGCAUACGACCUACGGGUGAAAGCAGGGGAUCUUCGGACCUUGCGCGAUUGAAUGAGCCGAUGUCGGAUUAGCUAGUUGGCGGGGUAAAGGCCCACCAGGGCGACGAUCCGUAGCUGGUCUGAGAGGAUGAUCAGCCACACUGGAACUGAGACACGGUCCAGACUCCUACGGGAGGCAGCAGUGGGGAAUAUUGGACAAAGGGCGCAAGCCUGAUCCAGCCAUACCGCGUAGGUGAAGAAGGCCUUCGGGUUGUAAAGCCCUUUUGUUGGGAAAGAAAAGCAGCAGGUUAAUACCCCGCUGUUCUGACGGUACCCAAAGAAUAAGCACCGGCUAACUUCGUG